AGCAGCUGCUCCUCCUUGUACAGCGCGCCGAAGAUGGCGUCGAAGAGGCCCUUCUCCUCCGUCGCCGCCGCCGCCGUGACGCUCUUCGUCGCCGACGGCCGCGCCACGCGUGCGGACGGCGGCGGCGGCGCCGCCGCCCGACGGUGGCUCAGGCGUCUCCCGGCGGCCACCGCCGGCGCCACCGUGGUGCCGAAACCAACCGACG
Molecule: unclassified non-coding RNA, 205 nt
Filed under: Hevea brasiliensis (rubber tree)
Lineage: Eukaryota; Viridiplantae; Streptophyta; Magnoliopsida; Malpighiales; Euphorbiaceae
Source: RNAcentral